AAUAGAUACCCCGGUAGUCCACACCGUAAACGAUGGGCACUAGGUGUAGGGGGCGUAGCCCUCUGUGCCGCAGUUAACACAUUAAGUGCCCCGCCUGGGGAGUACGAUCGCAAGAUUAAAACUCAAAGGAAUUGACGGGGACCCGCACAAGUAGCGGAGCAUGUGGUUUAAUUCGAAGCAACGCGAAGAACCUUACCUAAGCUUGACAUCCUUUUGACCGAUGCCUAAUCGCAUCUUUCCCUUCGGGGACAGAAGUGACAGGUGGUGCAUGGUUGUCGUCAGCUCGUGUCGUGAGAUGUUGGGUUAAGUCCCGCAACGAGCGCAACCCUUGCCUUUAGUUGCCAGCAUUAAGUUGGGCACUCUAGAGGGACUGCCAGGGAUAACCUGGAGGAAGGUGGGGAUGACGUCAAAUCAUCAUGCCCCUUAUGCUUAGGGCUACACACGUGCUACAAUGGGUGGUACAGAGGGCAGCCAAGUCGUGAGGCGGAGCUAAUCCCUUAAAGCCAUCCUCAGUUCGGAUUGUAGGCCGAAACUCGCCUAC
Molecule: ribosomal RNA, 541 nt
Filed under: uncultured bacterium
Lineage: Bacteria
Description: bacterial SSU rRNA
Rfam family: Bacterial small subunit ribosomal RNA
Source: RNAcentral